AGCCUCUCAUUAUGACACACUGUAAAAAAAGUCAGUAAAAUAUACAGCAAAACACCGUCAAAUUCCAACGGUAAUGGAGCGUAAAACCAAAAACUUCCUUUUACUGUAUUAAAUAGAUUGAAUAACCGUUAAUUGUGAGACUGGAUAAAACUUUGUUUUUUACUGUGAUAAAAUGUUGAAAUUAUAAAUAUUGUCUGUGAAAACAAAUAAAUAUGCAUACAUUUUACAAUUAAAUAUUGUAACGUUGAAAAUGUCUGAAAAACUUAGAUUUUACGGUAUUAUUUGAGUAAAACUACAUCUUUUCGGGUUGUGCACAUUGGAAUUCACAGUAUAAAGCUGUAGAUUUUUAAGCAAACAAAAACAUUCAUUUUUACAGAAGCAAGAUGUUAAACAAUAGGGUCCACUGUAAUAAUACAACCAGUAAAUACCAUUUAAAAAAAAAAAAAGCAAAUAUCAGCAGUGAAAGACAAUAAAAUUGAUAGUAUUUUUUUUUAUUUUAAAAUUCAGAUACUGAUAUACAGAUUAAAAGUUAGGCCUGCAGUAUAUCAUUGUUAACCUUCUGAUAAAAAAAAAUCAACAGCAAAAGAAGAUGUUAAAAAUAAAGUUCAUGGUUGUGAAUAAAAUUGAUUUCAAUAAUCUUUUUUAAUUAUUAUUUUUAAAACAACUUUAUGUUGUUGUGUUUCACGCCAUAUUAUCAGACCACCUUAAGUGGGUCCGCCUUAAAUUUUGAGUUUGUGUGAUCGCUGUUGAUUGGUAGCUAAACUGCUGGUAAACUGUGUACAGACGUUUUACGUUCGAAUUGCAGAGAAAAAAAAAUUCUGGUUGCAACAUUGUGCAGUAUAAGCGAACCAUUUCACCAAAAAAAGGGGAAGCAAGGCAAGACGUGGCUGCAGCGGUCUGCAGACGUGACUUCUGAUCAAAUUCGAACCUCCUCCUAAAGAAACAAAGAGCGACAUUAUAUUGCGGGAUGACGUCACCUGAAAAUGACCAAUAGCGCGGUGCGCUGCUGAGCUGUGUGCCAACCGCUCUUUUUUUCAUGCAGGAGACUCAAGUUGGCUUCGCUAUCGGACACAGUUUUGAACUCGUAUAUUAGCGCCAUUUAUUGCUGCUUGGACCACAGCAUCUUCGGAAUUUGUAGACAUCCUGGCAGCAUACAAUUAGUUCGAGGUGAGGUGAGUACAUGCAACUUCAAGUUAUCUCUGUUAUAAAAAUCCACCAGCCCAGCGUUUAUAGAUAAUUUUAGCAGUUCGUUUUUUAUGAGUGAGGUUGUGAAUUUAGUUAGCAUUUGUGAGUUGAGUUAGCAUUACUGUCGCCAGGGAAGCAUUGCUCUGGAUUAGUUUCUGUGUUUGGCGUGCUUAAUUCGCUAGGGAGGAAUUACCAAAGUACAUGGAGUUAUGUUAACCUGUAAUUUCUGUGGUAAGGUAGUUCAGUCAUCAAGGGGCUACGUGCUUCAUUGUAAACUGCAUCGGAAUGAGCCACGUUGUUUCUUUCGGUGUAUUGAAGCAGGCUGCAAGCAGACAUACACCAGACACUGAAUUUGAGCAGAAACCAUAAGGAUACUCAAAGGACCUGUGACUCUCAGGAAAUGCAUCAAAUGAGAGGGACAGAUGAAACAGUUUCAAGACAAUGGCAGGAAAAACAUGCUGAAGAUUGAAACAAACCUUGGCUGGAAAUAUUUGAAAGUAUCUAGCCAGUCCACAAUGAAAAGCUUCGUUGCACCCCAUGAGUCUUCUGGCAGAAAUGAUGGCGCCUGUAUUCUUUGGUUUCCCUAAACAUCACACCCUGCCUGUUUAUACAAGGCUCUUCAAUUAAGUCUGCACCCAAAGAUUCAAUAAGAGGUAAGCAGUGGUAUUAUUCAAGUUUUGCUAAAGAAAGAUGGACAGGAGACACUAAUCUUAAUCAGCCGAGCUCAGGUUCAUGUCCAGGUGAGCAGUUUCAUACGCUAUAAAAUGUAGAUUGAAUGAUAGGUCUCAUCACCAUGCAUUCAGCCAUUAACUUCAAGUUCUAUGAUAAAUCAAUAGGAAACUUAAA
Molecule: long non-coding RNA, 2031 nt
Organism: Oreochromis niloticus (Nile tilapia)
Lineage: Eukaryota; Metazoa; Chordata; Actinopteri; Cichliformes; Cichlidae
Exons: 4
Source: RefSeq, a predicted model, not a curated record